UAGCCCGGCGAAAGCCGGAUUAAUACCGCAUACGCCCUACGGGGGAAAGGGGGGGAUCGCAAGACCUCUCACUAUUGGAGCGGCCGAUGGCUGAUUAGCUAGUUGGUGGGGUAAAGGCCUACCAAGGCGACGAUCAGUAGCUGGUCUGAGAGGACGACCAGCCACACUGGGACUGAGACACGGCCCAGACUCCUACGGGAGGCAGCAGUGGGGAAUUUUGGACAAUGGGCGAAAGCCUGAUCCAGCAAUGCCGCGUGUGCGAAGAAGGCCUUCGGGUUGUAAAGCACUUUUGUCAGGGAAGAAAUCGUUUGGGUUAAUACCCCGAGCAGUUGACGGUACCUGAAGAAUAAGCACCGGCUAACUACGUGCCAGCAGCCGCGGUAAUACGUAGGGUGCAAGCGUUAAUCGGAAUUACUGGGCGUAAAGCGUGCGCAGGUGGUUUGUUAAGACAGUUGUGAAAUCCCCGGGGCUUAACCUGGGAACUGCAAUUGUGACUGGCAGACUAUAGUGAGGCAGAGGG
RNAcentral lists this ribosomal RNA (520 nucleotides) under Burkholderiales bacterium. RNAcentral's name for it is "bacterial SSU rRNA". It matches the Rfam family "Bacterial small subunit ribosomal RNA", at positions 144 to 658 of the family's 1533-position model. Lineage: Bacteria; Pseudomonadati; Pseudomonadota; Betaproteobacteria; Burkholderiales. The record is from RNAcentral.